UGGGGAAUAUUGCACAAUGGGGGAAACCCUGAUGCAGCGACGCCGCGUGAGCGAAGAAGGUUUUCGAAUCGUAAAGCUCUGUCCUAUGAGAAGAUAAUGACGGUAUCAUAGGAGGAAGCCCCGGCUAAAUACGUGCCAGCAGCCGCGGUAAUACGUAUGGGGCGAGCGUUGUCCGGAAUUAUUGGGCGUAAAGGGUACGUAGGCGGUCUAUUAAGUCAGGUGUGAAAGCGUGAGGCUUAACCUCAUUAAGCACUUGAAACUGAUAGACUUGAGUGAAGGAGAGGAAAGUGGAAUUCCUAGUGUAGCGGUGAAAUGCGUAGAUAUUAGGAGGAAUACCGGUGGCGAAGGCUACUUUCUGGACUUUUACUGACGCUCAGGUACGAAAGCGUGGGGAGCAAACAGG
This 403-nucleotide ribosomal RNA is filed under the name Verrucomicrobiota bacterium. Its description in RNAcentral is "Verrucomicrobia bacterium partial 16S ribosomal RNA". It matches the Rfam family "Bacterial small subunit ribosomal RNA", at positions 355 to 776 of the family's 1533-position model. Lineage: Bacteria; Pseudomonadati; Verrucomicrobiota. The record is from RNAcentral.